RNAcentral lists this ribosomal RNA (253 nucleotides) under uncultured bacterium. Its description in RNAcentral is "partial 16S ribosomal RNA". It matches the Rfam family "Bacterial small subunit ribosomal RNA", at positions 524 to 776 of the family's 1533-position model. The record is from RNAcentral.
UACGUAGGGCGCAAGCGUUAUCCGGAAUUAUUGGGCGUAAAGAGCUCGUAGGCGGUUUGUCGCGUCUGCCGUGAAAGUCCGGGGCUCAACUCCGGAUCUGCGGUGGGUACGGGCAGACUAGAGUGCUGUAGGGGAGACUGGAAUUCCUGGUGUAGCGGUGAAAUGCGCAGAUAUCAGGAGGAACACCGGUGGCGAAGGCGGGUCUCUGGGCAGUAACUGACGCUGAGGAGCGAAAGCGUGGGGAGCGAACAGG